This 75-nucleotide non-coding RNA is filed under the name Butyrivibrio sp. Su6. RNAcentral describes it as "c-di-GMP-I riboswitch aptamer". It matches the Rfam family "c-di-GMP-I riboswitch aptamer". From Rfam's summary of the family: GEMM was predicted in a large-scale screen for bacterial structured RNA regulatory elements. Lineage: Bacteria; Bacillati; Bacillota; Clostridia; Lachnospirales; Lachnospiraceae. The record is from Rfam by way of RNAcentral.
GAAAUACUUAGGUAAAACCGGAGUGAUCCGGCGACACAAAGCUACAGGGACUUAAUGAGUCAGCCAGCUGCAACU